AUAGAUUUCGCCCGCGCUGCGCCGCCUGGUUGCUCCUCCCGAGCGGUGAGUCCCGAAGGCCCGGAGCCGAGUAGGUCUGGGCAAGCGGGGCCUCAGCUAGGGAUACCACCGGACUUGGAUCGGAGCAGCCUUCAGGGGACGUGGCGCAGUCGAACAGAGCCACCAUGGGGACGACAGCCCCAGGGCCCAUUCACCUGCUGGAGCUAUGUGACCAGAAGCUCAUGGAGUUUCUCUGCAACAUGGAUAAUAAGGACUUGGUGUGGCUGCAGGAGAUCCAAGAGGAGGCCGAGCGCAUGUUCACCAGAGAAUUCAGCAAAGAGCCAGAGCUGAUGCCCAAAACACCUUCUCAGAAGAACCGACGGAAGAAAAGACGGAUUUCUUAUGUUCAGGAUGAAAACAGAGAUCCCAUCAGGAGAAGGUUAUCCCGCAGAAAGUCUCGGAGCAGCCAGCUGAGCUCCCGACGCCUCCGCAGCAAGGACAGUGUAGAGAAGCUGGCUACAAUGGUGGGGGAGAACGGCUCCGUCCUGCGGCGUGUGACCCGUGCUGCGGCUGCGGCUGCCGCGGCCACCAUGGCAUUGGCUGCACCUUCUUCACCCACCCCUGAGUCUCCCACGAUGCUGACCAAGAAGCCCGAGGAUAACCGCACUCAGUGCCAGCUGGUGCCUAAGGUGGAGAUUGGCAUCGGUGAGCGCCAGAACGCUGAGCAGCAUGUCACCCAGCUCAUGUCUGCCCAGCCUCUGCCCCGCACUCUGUCUCCGACUCCGGCUUCAGCCACAGCUUCAGCCUCCCAGGGCAUCCUGACAUCGGAUGAGGAAUCAACACCUAAGAAGUCAAAGGCCAGGGUACUGGAGUCUGUCACAGUGAGCUCCCUGAUGGCUACACCCCAGGACCCCAAGGGACGAGGGGUCGGGACGGGGCGGUCUGCGUCUAAGCUCAGGAUUGCACAGGUCUCCCCUGGCCCAAGGGACUUGCCAGCCUCUCCAGACUCUCCAUGGCGGGAGCGGGUGCUGGCUCCCAUCCUGCCGGAUAACUUCUCCACGCCCACGGGCUCUCACACGGACUCUCGAUCUGUGCGGCGCAGCCCGAUUGCCCCGUCUUCCCCGAGUCCCCAAGUCUUAGCCCAGAAGUACUCUCUGGUGGCCAAACAGGAAAGUGUUGUCCGCAGAGUGAGCAGAAGGCUUGCCAAGAAGACUGCCGAAGAGCCAGCUGCCUCUGGCCGCAUCAUCUGUCACAGUUACCUGGAGAGGCUCCUGAAUGUUGAGGUGCCCCAGAAAGUUGGGUGAGUUCAGUUCCAGGGCUUCGCAGGUGGGCAGGGCACACCAGGACAGGGAGCUAAGGUGAGCACCAGGGCUGGAAGCAAUUCCUGGGCUGA
This 1372-nucleotide small RNA is filed under the name Pongo abelii (Sumatran orangutan). RNAcentral describes it as "retained intron". Lineage: Eukaryota; Metazoa; Chordata; Mammalia; Primates; Hominidae. The record is from RNAcentral.